AGUAAAGAUAAACCACUAGAGGAUUUAAAUGCUUUUUUUUUCCCCCCAGAAAGAAUUCACUAGUUUUUUAUUAGCUACGAAGGGAGUUUCCCCCUUCCCUAAGUGCUGUUGGAGUGGUAGGAGGUCCUGAGAGAGUGUUCUUUAUAAAGUCUCCAGCCUAGUUAGCUUCCUUGCUUUGGGGAAUUUUCUUCAUAUAACCCCACAACACGUUCAGAUGAUUAACUUCAAGUGGAUAUAAUUUAUUCAUUCACUUUUAUUGGUUCAUUCAUUUAGCAAAUGCCAAUUUAUGGCCAGCCAGUUCCAAAGCCCUGUGAAUGAUGCAAAGAAAAAUCGGAUGGAGAUCUUGCCUUCAAGAAUGUCAAAUCUACCCAAGAAUCAAGUUGCAGGGAAAGUGGAGACCAACUACCAGGAGGUGGAACCUUUGAAUGUUAAUUAGAUUUGAAGAAGCCAGGAUGAUGAAGCUGCCACGAUGGGAUUAAGGCUUUUAUAAGAGGAGAGGGAGACCAGUGCCCCAUCUGCAAUGUGAAGGUACAGCAAGAAGAUGGCUUUCUGAAAACAAGGAAGAGGCCUCACCAGGAACUGAACUCACUGGCACCUUGAUCUUGGAUUUCCCA
Molecule: long non-coding RNA, 614 nt
Organism: Hyaena hyaena (striped hyena)
Lineage: Eukaryota; Metazoa; Chordata; Mammalia; Carnivora; Hyaenidae
Exons: 3
Source: RefSeq, a predicted model, not a curated record